This 109-nucleotide small nuclear RNA is filed under the name Macaca fascicularis (crab-eating macaque). The record is from RNAcentral. Lineage: Eukaryota; Metazoa; Chordata; Mammalia; Primates; Cercopithecidae.
GUGCUCGCUUCGGCAGCACGUAUACUAAAAAAUUGGAACCAUACAGAGAAGAUUAGCAUGGCCCCUGCGCAAGGAUGACACACAAAUUCGUGAAGCGUUCCACAUUUUG